This 776-nucleotide long non-coding RNA is filed under the name Marmota monax (woodchuck). The record is from RNAcentral. Lineage: Eukaryota; Metazoa; Chordata; Mammalia; Rodentia; Sciuridae.
GGUGUUUACUUGUGGCCUGCUGAUUUGUUUCUCGUGAGCCUUGUAGGAUUAAUUUUUGUUUCUGGAUAUGUCAGCACAUAGUCUCUAUAAGGUUGAGUAAGAGAGACUAAAAAAUAUUCCCUGAAGGAGGCAGCCUGCCCUGAGGCAGAGAAGGGUCUGGAACAUUGACCAGAGGUCAAGGUCUCCAGAAUUGAGGUGGCAGUCUCUGGGCUUCUCCUCUUGAGCCUUUUCCUCCAUUCUUCUGUGCUUGACCUCUACUAGCAGGUUCCUUUUUCCUGCUCAGUCUCAUCCCUUCAGGCCUUCUCUCCUUUCCUGGAUGUUGCUCUGCAUUGGCACUGCAUAGUCCUCACUCUCCUGAUCUUUGGCUUUGGUGUCUUCUCCCGUGUCUUUAUACCUGUUGGACCUGAGCUGGCCUCUCCAGUGGCCAGUGAGGGUGUUGGCUCCUGACCUGCAUUUUCAUGAUAUAGCUGUGACGGGCUGAGUGUGUGUGGGGGAUUUAUCAUGAUACACACACUGACACUUCCUGUUAGGUCUCAUUGCCUCCCCUCUUGCAGACAAAUGAUUCUUUAAGAAGGGACAUUCAGGUAGAGAUGUUACCUGUGAUUAAACCUGCUUCAGUAGGAACAGGGCUUUUGAUCUAUAUGCUGGUGCUGUCUUGUGGCUUUGUUUCUUAGCUCUGAGCCACAGCCCUUGUUGGUCUGAAGACUCAACUGAUGGUUUAGGACAGCACACAUGCAAGAGGCAUGUACACUGUACUGUGAUUUCCACAUUGCUCC